Molecule: ribosomal RNA, 541 nt
Filed under: Peribleptus dealbatus
Lineage: Eukaryota; Metazoa; Arthropoda; Insecta; Coleoptera; Curculionidae
Description: partial 16S ribosomal RNA
Rfam family: Bacterial large subunit ribosomal RNA
Source: RNAcentral
GGCUUUUUGAUAAUAAUUUAAGGUYUAACCUGCCCAAUGAGUAGUUAAAUGGCCGCGGUAAUUUGACCGUGCAAAGGUAGCAUAAUCAUUAGUUUUUUAAUUGAAAGCUGGAAUGAAAGGUUUGAUGAAAAAAUUACUGUCUCUAUUUAAAUUAUUUAGAAUUUUAUUUUUAAGUUAAAAAGCUUAAAUUUUUAUAAAAGACGAGAAGACCCUAUAGAGUUUAAUAUUUUUUAUCUAAAAAUUAUUUCAGUAUUUUAUCUAUUUUUAAUAAAAAGUAUUUAGUUGGGGUGAUUGAAAAAUUGAUUUAACUUUUUUUUUAUUUAAUCAUUAAUUUAUGAAUAAUUGAUCCUUAUUUUGAGAUUAAAAGAUAAAAUUACCUUAGGGAUAACAGCGUAAUUUUUUUUAARAGUUCUAAUCGAAAAAAAAGAUUGCGACCUCGAUGUUGGAUUAAAAUUAAUUUAUGGUGUARAASCUAUAAAAUUAGGUCUGUUCGACCUUUAAAAUUUUACAUGAUCUGAGUUUAAACCGGUGUGAGCCAGGU